CCUGGCUCAGGAUGAACGCUGGCGGCGUGCUUAACACAUGCAAGUCGAACGAAGCUACUUUUUACGAUCCCUUCGGGGUGACGAGUUGUAGACUUAGUGGCGGACGGGUGAGUAACGCGUGGGUAACCUGCCGUAUGCAGGGGGACAACAGUUGGAAACGACUGCUAAUACCGCAUAAGCGCACGAUAUCGCAUGAUAAAGUGUGAAAAGAUUUAUCGGCAUACGAUGGACCCGCGUCUGAUUAGCUAGUUGGUGAGGUAACGGCCCACCAAGGCGACGAUCAGUAGCCGACCUGAGAGGGUGACCGGCCACAUUGGGACUGAGACACGGCCCAAACUCCUACGGGAGGCAGCAGUGGGGAAUAUUGCACAAUGGGCGAAAGCCUGAUGCAGCGACGCCGCGUGAGUGAAGAAGUAUUUCGGUAUGUAAAGCUCUAUCAGCAGGGAAGAUAAUGACGGUACCUGACUAAGAAGCUCCGGCUAAAUACGUGCC
This 492-nucleotide ribosomal RNA is filed under the name uncultured organism. RNAcentral describes it as "SSU rRNA". It matches the Rfam family "Bacterial small subunit ribosomal RNA", at positions 18 to 509 of the family's 1533-position model. The record is from RNAcentral.